RNAcentral lists this ribosomal RNA (241 nucleotides) under uncultured Mycobacterium sp. RNAcentral's name for it is "partial 16S ribosomal RNA". It matches the Rfam family "Bacterial small subunit ribosomal RNA", at positions 592 to 832 of the family's 1533-position model. The record is from RNAcentral. Lineage: Bacteria; Bacillati; Actinomycetota; Actinomycetes; Mycobacteriales; Mycobacteriaceae.
UCGUGAAAACUCACAACUCAAUUGUGGGCGUGCGGGCGAUACGGGCAGACUUGAGUACUGCAGGAGAGACUGGAAUUCCUGGUGUAGCGGUGGAAUGCGCAGAUAUCAGGAGGAACACCGGUGGCGAAGGCGGGUCUCUGGGCAGUAACUGACGCUGAGGAGCGAAAGCGUGGGGAGCGAACAGGAUUAGAUACCCUGGUAGUCCACGCCGUAAACGGUGGGUACUAGGUGUGGGUUUCCU